CUGGCUCUCGAGAUUCGGAGGGCGGUGCCUCUUCGAUUUUGGAGCAAGCAAUCUUGUUCGGAGUGUUUUCUCGAAUGUGAGUAAAGGUUGGGCAUGUUUGCUAGUCUACCUUGCCACGAAGCACAGAGGUUGACACACAGGGACUUUCCAAUUAUCCAGCAAUGGUACUGUUCCUUUACCCUUUCUUCGAUUUUUGAGAAAGUAGUCAUGUUGGGAGUCUGGCUCUCGAGAUCCAGAGGACGGUGCCUCUUCGAUUUUGGAGCAAGCAAUCUUGUUGGGAGUUUUCUCGAAUGUGAGUAAAGGUUGGGCAUG
Molecule: long non-coding RNA, 312 nt
Filed under: Malus domestica (apple)
Lineage: Eukaryota; Viridiplantae; Streptophyta; Magnoliopsida; Rosales; Rosaceae
Description: long non-coding RNA (MDOM_LNC017196)
Source: RNAcentral